RNAcentral lists this unclassified non-coding RNA (157 nucleotides) under uncultured Chaetothyriales. RNAcentral describes it as "sequence contains ITS2". Lineage: Eukaryota; Fungi; Ascomycota; Eurotiomycetes; Chaetothyriales. The record is from RNAcentral.
UCAACCCUCAAGCCUGGCUUGCUGUUGGACCAUUCGUCGGUAUUUCAGACGGGUCCCAAAGAUAAUGACAGAGUCGUGUUGGACCCUAGAUGCAACGAGCUUUGAAUAGCACGCAUUGAAGUGGCCAACCACUCUUGUCUCAACCCUAUUUUUACAA